RNAcentral lists this ribosomal RNA (251 nucleotides) under uncultured prokaryote. Its description in RNAcentral is "partial 16S ribosomal RNA". It matches the Rfam family "Bacterial small subunit ribosomal RNA", at positions 524 to 774 of the family's 1533-position model. The record is from RNAcentral.
UACGGAGGAUGCGAGCGUUAUCCGGAUUUAUUGGGUUUAAAGGGUGCGUAGGCGGCCGAGUAAGUCAGCGGUGAAGUUUUGCAGCUUAACUGUAACAGUGCCGUUGAUACUGCAUGGCUAGGAUUUGGUUGCUGUGGGUGGAAUGUGUGGUGUAGCGGUGAAAUGCUUAGAUACCACACAGAAUAUCAAUUGCGAAGGCAGCUCACAAAGCCAAGAUUGACGCUGAGGCACGAAAGUGUGGGGAUCAAACA